GCAGUGGGACUGCGUUGGUUCAUCGGAGCGAGCAUUGAUGGCGUCAGUGCUGUCUCUGUGGGUGGGGUCGCCGGCCUUCUCAAAAAGGACAGCUCAUUCAUGGCGUUCGAUCUCUCUCUCUCUCCCCUCCUUCUCAUCCAUCACUUCUCUCUUCGUGGCAGAUAACUCAUAACCAAUUUUCUUUCUACUCUCCUCCUCUCUCUCUCUCUGAUCAUUCCACCUCUCCCUCUCUCUGAUCAUUCCACCUCUCUCUCUUACCGUGAAUACUGAACUGCAAACAUGAGAGGGCGGGCGUCAUUCAGUCUUUAUCUUCUAAAUAUUUCUCUCUUGUCUUUCUGCCUUUGUGAAUAUAACUGCAGCCCUUUGGGGUAUCAACAAGGUUCUGCACUAUUGGAGAAAAAGGGAAAUGCUAUGUUGCCAGCUACCUCCCCAAUUGGGGCUCCUCAGCCCUUUCUUCCUCUUCUGGCACCUUCACCACCGACACCCUUCACAAACAGCAGUGUGCCAAGAUUGUCAGGACUCUGCACCUUAAAUUUUUCUGCAUCUGAAAGUAUGAUGAGUAAAACUGCAACUGAUUGCUGGGCUGUUUUUGCUCCAUUUCUAGCAAAUGUAAUAUGUUGCCCACAGUUGGAAGCCACUCUUGCGAUUCUUAUGGGGCAAUCCAGCAAAGAUACUGGGGCUCUUGCUUUGGAUGCGACCCAUGCAAAACACUGCCUCUCUGAUGUUGAGCAGAUCUUAGCAGGUCAAGGUGCAAGUGCAGAUCUUCAAAAAAUAUGCUCAAUUUAUCCAUUAAAUCUAACUGAAGCCUCUUGCCCUCUCAAAAAUGUUAUUGAGUUUGAAAGCACUGUGGAUACAUCUAAACUUUUGGCUGCUUGUGAAACGAUUGAUCCUGUUAAGGAAUGUUGUAGCCAAAUUUGUCAGAAUGCAAUAUCGGAAGCUGCACAAAUGAUUGCCUUGAAAGAUUAUGGUCUUUCAAGCACAGAUGGGAACAACCUCUUGCUCGGGCAGUCAUCUAGGAUUGAUGAUUGUAAAGGCAUUGUUCUUCGAUGGCUAGCUAGUAGGCUUGGUCCUUCUUCUGCAAAUAAAGUUCUUAGAGGACUUUCUAAUUGCAAUGUCAAUAAAGUCUGUCCACUAGUUUUUCCUGGCAUAGAAAAUGUUGCAAAGGAGUGUGGGAAUGGGAUAAGUAACCAGUCAGCUUGCUGCAGUGCCAUGGAAAAUUAUGUAUCUCACUUGCAAAAGCAGAGAUUCAUAACCAACUUGCAAGCUCUUAACUGUGCCGCAAUGCUUGGCAUUAAGUUGCAGAAAGCCAACAUUACCAAAAACGUUUAUAGCCUAUGUCAUAUCACACUCAAGGAUUUUUCUCUCCAGGUUGGGUCACAAGAGUCUGGAUGCCUUUUGCCAAGCUUGCCUUCAGAUGCAACAUUUGACAAGUCUUCAGGAAUCAGCUUCCUCUGUGAUUUGAAUGACAACAUUGCAGCUCCUUGGCCCUCUACAUCUCAAAUACCAUCUUCUUCCUGCAAUAAGACAAUCAAACUUCCAGCACUUCCAGCUGCAACAUCUGCACAAGCAAGUCCUUCCAGAGAGGAUUUGUUGGUUCCACUUCUCAUUGCUUUCUUGAUGGCUUUCAUGACAUUCCUGUAGUUCUAUGAUAAGGGGCCAUUCAUGUUUCUCAUUACAAUUGACAAUGGCAUGUUCUUCAUCCUCGAGGCAAAUAUUUGAUCUUACAUAUUCUGAAGUGGAAAGAGGAAUUUUUUGAAGCACCCUGCGGCAUAUCCAACAUGUAUUUAUUCUGAGGUCUAGUUACCACUUUAAAAGAAUCACUUUUUGAGGUCCAUGAAGAUUUCUUGGCUAAUCAUGGUAUCAUAUAGCAGACCUCUUGCGUGGAAACCCCACAACAAAAUGGGGUAGUGGAAAGGAAGCAUAGGCAUCUCCUGGAGAUAGCUAGGGCCUUAAGAUUUCAGUCCAUUCUACCAAUAAAAUUCUGGGGGGGGGGAGUGCAUUUUAAAAGCGACGUAUAUCAUCAACCACCUCCCUACCCCUCUUCUUUCUGGAAAAACUCCAUUUGAAAUAUUAUAUGGUCACACUCCUUAUACCCAUUUUCGUACUUUUGGUUGCUUUGCCUAUGCUGCCACAAUCCAACAUGGCCAUGAUAUGUUUGCAUCUCGAUCCCAGCAUUGUAUUUCUUGGUCUAUCCACAUGGACAAAAGAGAUAUCGACUCCUUGACAUGGAAACAAAUCAACUAUUUAUUUCAUAUGAUGUCAAAUUCUUUGAAAACCUUGUUCCCUUAUUCUAAUGAAAAAUAUUUGGAUCCUACUACACACAUUCCAAUCAUCCCAACACCAGAAGCUGAUGAUGAUAAUAUGCUUCAACAUGAUUCUAUUAUUGCAGACUCCAUCCAUACAGUUGAGCCUUACAAUAUUGAAGUGACUACCACCACCCCAUGCUUACAAGAAAUUGAGCCCACACCUGAUCACAACUCGCCAGAGCCCACACAUGUUGCAGUAGGCCCCUCUCGGCCAAUGUGUGAUAAACGCAUCCCAACCCAUCUUUCUGAUUAUAUCUAUCCCAUCAUUAGACCCAAUAUUGGCCCAUGGACUUCAUCCACUAGCCAUCCCAUAUCUAAUUUUCUACUCUCUUGCUUAGCUUCCCAAACUAUUCAACCACCUAAGCCCACCACAUAUUCUCAGACAGAGUUGCCACCUAACAAUAUUCCCAUCUUCCCAAUAUUGUCAACACUUUAAAAUACUUAUACAUUGACUUUGACAGAUUGCCACCUAACAAAAAGCCCAUCGGAUGCAAAUGGAUUUACAAGAUCAAGUAUAAGCAUGAUGGUACAAUUGAGCAUUACAGAGCACGCAUUGUUUCAAGAGGCCAUACAUAAAGAGAGGACAUUGAUUAUGCUAAGACCUUUGCCCCAGUUGCCAAAUUUGUAUCAAUACAUUGCUUAUUAGCACUUGUUGUAGCCAAAGGUUUGGAACUUCAUCAAAUGAAUGUAAACAAUGCUUUUCUUCA
Molecule: non-coding RNA, 3013 nt
Organism: Nelumbo nucifera (sacred lotus)
Lineage: Eukaryota; Viridiplantae; Streptophyta; Magnoliopsida; Proteales; Nelumbonaceae
Source: RefSeq, a predicted model, not a curated record